AAUGUCAGUAUAUAAUAGAAUAGAAUAGAAUAGAAUAGAAUAGAAUGACUUUCCAGGAAUUUGUAUUACAUCAGCAGAACUACUGACACAUCAGAGAGAUACAAAACAUAUUUACAUAAAUUCAUUGGUUUAGGUAUCUUCACAUUUGUU
Long non-coding RNA from Haliotis rubra (blacklip abalone), 150 nucleotides. RefSeq lists it as uncharacterized. NCBI's taxonomy places the organism in Eukaryota, Metazoa, Mollusca, Gastropoda, Lepetellida, Haliotidae. The transcript has 3 exons. The record is from RefSeq and is a predicted model, not a curated record.